UUCGGUGAGGAUAGCGUAGGGGAAACACCCGUUCCCAUUCCGAACACGGCCGUUAAGACCUACGACGCCGAUGAUACUGCAGGGGGGGCCCUGUGGGAAAGUAGGUAUCGCCGAGG
RNAcentral lists this ribosomal RNA (116 nucleotides) under Candidatus Poribacteria bacterium. The record is from RNAcentral. Lineage: Bacteria; Candidatus Poribacteria.